CAUUUUCAAAUUUAGGGAUGAUGUUUAGGCUAUUUUGUUGUCAAAUGGAAGUAACUAUAUGUCAAAAUGAGCAGUAUAGUAUGUAAGGGUUAAAGUUCCAACGAUAACAAGGGGAACUACAAGGAAGUGUUUACAUGCUUGGCCAAGAGAGGUUUGUUCCUUGCCCGAGUCUGUUUUUCGCUGCCGUGAAAUAGCAGUUCCAUGGCUGACGAGGAUGGCGAUCAUGUGGCUAACAAGCAGAACUGAGGCCUGACUCACACAGGGACAACAGAUGAGUGGGAACUGACUCACAUUCAAGUCUGCACUCUGUCCGCAGCACAAUUAUUCCGGGACGGUGUGACAUCCGCGAAAAAUAGAUACAGUCUCAGACUCACCCGCUCGCUAGAAGAACACGCAUUCUUCUGUAUUUUCCGCUGCCUGCUUUAGCUCGCAGUCUGUCCACCAGUCGUCUUUGUACAUCGUCAUCUAUUAAAAAAUCUGAUCUGAUCCCGUCCAAUAUCAGGAGUGUCAAACUCAAGGCUCGGAGGAGGGGGAGCCGAUUUGUCCCGCCAUCGUCAUUUUAUGGGGUUCGCGAAAGCAAGUCAUGCUCCAUCAUCAUUAUAACUAAAAUAUGUAUCAAAACUCGUCAUAUACACACACACACACAGAAUGCUUCCUUAGGCAGCUGCACAUAUCGCCCAUAUCAGAAACCACAGCUGUAGCGAUUGACCCUUUAUAUCUUUUCACAGUCAUAACAGGCUUGUGGAGGUAAGUGUAACUACAAUGGGGCAAAUGAGAAAAUGAGUUUGACUAUCUCUCAUCCAUACCCCUUCCCUCCAUCCCACAUCAAUUGAACCAGCCAAUUCCACGUGCUACUGGAAAGGAGGAGGAGCUUACAUCUCAGGUGGAGCAAAGUCUGGCUGACACAUCUGGUAGCCUCGUUUGACCAUCUUGUAGAACCUGGAGUCCACAGCCACGCUGGGGAAGCGCACCUCAGCAGCUUCAUGCUGUCCUGUUACCUUGGGCUUCAGGAGCUUUGCUGAAACUUCAGCGGAGUAACCAGACAUUCAUUCUUUGUGUCGCUUAUCCUCACUAAGGUCUCAAGUGUACUGGAGUGGACUUUGGUAUGGGAGGAAAAGUGAACUACCCACACAGGAGAACAAGCAAGCUGUGGGUGAGAUUACAACCUACAACCGCUGAACUGUUAUUAUGAUGCGAAUCCUUUGUGAUGUGGUUUCCCUUUAUAAUUUUAAGUUAUUACGAUGCGGAAUUCUAGAAUGUUCCGACGAGUGCCUAUAUACGGACGAGAAAGACCGUCAACGGGGCUUCUUACGACCGCACCGCUGCUUGGGACAAUUACACGGAUGCCUACUGCAUUUCAUCUUUGGACAUUUCUGGAACAUUCGCUGGAAAGAACAUUUACAUGUUUGGGAACAUUCGUUGAACUUUGGUGACUAUUCGCCGUUUGGCUAGACUACUCGGUCUUUGAACUUUUGUGUUAGUUGUUUUAUCGUGCCUGUGUUGCAUUGUUGUGUGUGUGAUUAAAUUGUCUUCAACGCAAUACAACUGUCUUAUCACAUUUUGCUGGUUUGAGUAAAGGGGAUUUUAGUCUAAAUUCACGUGUAACAAUUCGUACAUUUAAAAUUAUACAACUUACAAUAGAUAACAUUUAGUGUGAUUGGGACACUCCAUUAGCAACAUAGCAAAGGUGUCUAGCAUCAGCUUCUUUGCGGUGUUCAUGCUAGCCUAGUAUUGCUAGCAUUGGUAUUUUACUGAAACUAGAUGUGUUUUCCCUGUGACUGCAGUAUUUAUCAUGACUAAACACAUCAUCUAUUUGAGGUCCUGCUUGUACACACUUAUGAUGGGUGACUUUUAGUCUUUUCGACUUUUGGUGGUUUUGCUGGGGGCCAAUAAAGUGAGGCUCCAUUCAUCCUGUUCUUAAUCUUGUUAGCAGUUUCAACAAUGAAAACUCUCCUUUUAAGGGGUUGAAUCGAUAAUAUUAAUCCGUUUUUUACACAAGCACGUGGAAAGUAGAUCAA
Molecule: long non-coding RNA, 2018 nt
Organism: Syngnathoides biaculeatus (alligator pipefish)
Lineage: Eukaryota; Metazoa; Chordata; Actinopteri; Syngnathiformes; Syngnathidae
Exons: 4
Source: RefSeq, a predicted model, not a curated record